RNAcentral lists this ribosomal RNA (253 nucleotides) under uncultured bacterium. Its description in RNAcentral is "partial 16S ribosomal RNA". It matches the Rfam family "Bacterial small subunit ribosomal RNA", at positions 524 to 776 of the family's 1533-position model. The record is from RNAcentral.
UACGAAGGGUGCAAACGUUGCUCGGAAUUAUUGGGCGUAAAGCGCACGUAGGCGGCUUGGCAAGUUGGAUGUGAAAUCCCUCGGCUCAACCAAGGAAGUGCAUCCAAAACUGCCAAGCUUGAGUACUUAAGAGGAUCGCGGAAUUCCCGGUGUAGAGGUGAAAUUCGUAGAUAUCGGGAGGAACACCAGUGGCGAAGGCGGCGAUCUGGGAAGAUACUGACGCUGAGGUGCGAAAGCGUGGGGAGCAAACAGG